CUCUCAUUCUCUCAUACUGGGAUUAGGGUUUUUUUGUUUCCAUUGUUCCUCUUCAUCACAUAAUCCCUCAUUCGCAUUCUGUUUGGAGAAAACCUAGCCGCAGACCAUGGAUUCUCAUCUUCAUCUUUAAGUAAACUGAAAGAAAGGGGAACUCGCCAAAUUUGAAGCCAUCGACUGUGGAAAACCACUCGAUGAAGCAACAUAGUUUUGGAGCGUUUUGGGCUUUUGUCAAACGUGUCAAGGCCGGUUAAGCCAGUCAGCACGUUAAUUGAGGAGUUGCUUGUGCUGAAAAUAUACAAAAUGGAGAUUGCUGAAG
This is a long non-coding RNA of Helianthus annuus (common sunflower), 316 nucleotides long. RefSeq lists it as uncharacterized. The transcript has 3 exons. The record is from RefSeq and is a predicted model, not a curated record. NCBI's taxonomy places the organism in Eukaryota, Viridiplantae, Streptophyta, Magnoliopsida, Asterales, Asteraceae.